RNAcentral lists this ribosomal RNA (497 nucleotides) under uncultured bacterium. RNAcentral describes it as "partial 16S ribosomal RNA". It matches the Rfam family "Bacterial small subunit ribosomal RNA", at positions 28 to 507 of the family's 1533-position model. The record is from RNAcentral.
GAUGAACGCUGGCGGCGUGCCUAAUACAUGCAGGUCGAGCGAACAGACGAGGAGCUUGCUCCUCUGACGUUAGCGGCGGACGGGUGAGUAACACGUGGAUAACCUCCCUAUAAGACUGGGAUAACUUCGGGACACCGGAGCUAAUCCCGGAUAAUAUAUUGAACCGCAUGGUUCAUUAGUGAAAGUCGGUUUUGCUGUCUCUUCUAGCUGGUUCUGGGCCGCAUUAGCUAGUUGGUACGGUAACGGCUUACCACGGCAACGAUGCGUAGCCGACCUGAGAGAGGGAUCGGCCACACGGGAGCGGAGACGGGGUCCAGGGGACUGAGGGACGGAGCAGUAGGGAAUCGUCCGCAAUGGGGGAAAGCCUGGCGGAGCAGGGGGGCGUGAGAUAUAGAGAUCUUCGGUGCGGAAAACUCUGUUUUGAGGUAUGAACAAAUUUGGAAGUAACUGUGCACUGCGUGACGGUAACUAAUCAAAAAGCAACGGCUAACUACGUG